RNAcentral lists this ribosomal RNA (484 nucleotides) under uncultured bacterium. Its description in RNAcentral is "partial 16S ribosomal RNA". It matches the Rfam family "Bacterial small subunit ribosomal RNA", at positions 30 to 507 of the family's 1533-position model. The record is from RNAcentral.
AUUGAACGCUAGCGGGAUGCUUUACACAUGCAAGUCGAACGGCAGCGCGGACUUCGGUCUGGCGGCGAGUGGCGAACGGGUGAGUAAUGUAUCGGAACGUGCCCAGUAGCGGGGGAUAACUACGCGAAAGCGUAGCUAAUACCGCAUACGCCCUACGGGGGAAAGCAGGGGAUCGUAAGACCUUGCACUAUUGGAGCGGCCGAUAUCGGAUUAGCUAGUUGGUGAGGUAACGGCUCACCAAGGCGACGAUCCGUAGCUGGUUUGAGAGGACGACCAGCCACACUGGGACUGAGACACGGCCCAGACUCCUACGGGAGGCAGCAGUGGGGAAUUUUGGACAAUGGGGGGAACCCUGAUCCAGCCAUCCCGCGUGUGCGAUGAAGGCCUUCGGGUUGUAAAGCACUUUUGGCAGGAAAGAAACGUCGCGGGCUAAUACCCCGUGGAACUGACGGUACCUGCAGAAUAAGCACCGGCUAACUACGUG